UCAGAGUAGAGGAGGAAGGUGAGAGUAGAGGAGGAAGGUGAGAGUAGAGGAGGAUGGUGAGAGUAGAGGAGGAAGGUGAGAGUAGAGGAGGAUGGUGAGAGUAGAGGAGGAAGGUGAGAGUAGAGGAGGAUGGUGAGAGUAGAGGAGGAAG
This is a long non-coding RNA of Oncorhynchus keta (chum salmon), 151 nucleotides long. RefSeq lists it as uncharacterized. The record is from RefSeq and is a predicted model, not a curated record. The transcript has 3 exons. Lineage: Eukaryota; Metazoa; Chordata; Actinopteri; Salmoniformes; Salmonidae.